RNAcentral lists this ribosomal RNA (370 nucleotides) under uncultured eukaryote. RNAcentral describes it as "partial 18S ribosomal RNA". It matches the Rfam family "Eukaryotic small subunit ribosomal RNA", at positions 592 to 976 of the family's 1831-position model. The record is from RNAcentral.
CAAUAGCGUAUAUUAAAGUUGUUGCAGUUAAAAAGCUCGUAGUUGGACCUUGGACCUGGACAGGCGGUCCGCCUCACGGCGUGUACUGUCUUGCUGGGUCUUUCCUCUUGGUGAUCUGUUGUUUCGGCAGCAGGGAACCAGGACUUUUACUUUGAAAAAAUUAGAGUGUUCAAAGCAGGCUCGACGCCGGAAUAUAUUAGCAUGGAAUAAUAAAAUAGGACGUGCGGUUCUAUUUUGUUGGUUUUUGGAAUCGCCGUAAUGAUUAAUAGGGACAGUCGGGGGCAUUAGUACUCACAUGCUAGAGGUGAAAUUCUUGGAUUUUGUGAAGACUAACUUCUGCGAAAGCAUUUGCCAAGGGUGUUUUCAUUAA